This 253-nucleotide ribosomal RNA is filed under the name uncultured bacterium. Its description in RNAcentral is "partial 16S ribosomal RNA". It matches the Rfam family "Bacterial small subunit ribosomal RNA", at positions 524 to 776 of the family's 1533-position model. The record is from RNAcentral.
UACGUAGGGGGCUAGCGUUGUCCGGAAUCAUUGGGCGUAAAGAGCGUGUAGGCGGCCCGGUAAGUCCGCUGUAAAAGUCAAAGGCUCAACCUUUGAAUGUCAGUGGAUACUGCCGGGCUAGAGUCCGGAAGAGGCGAGUGGAACUCCUGGUGUAGCGGUGGAAUGCGCAGAUAUCAGGAAGAACACCAACGGCGAAGGCAGCUCGCUGGGACGGUACUGACGCUGAGGAGCGAAAGCUAGGGGAGCAAACGGG